RNAcentral lists this long non-coding RNA (868 nucleotides) under Cervus hanglu yarkandensis (Yarkand deer). RNAcentral's name for it is "lncRNA (ENSCHYG00000014947.1)". Lineage: Eukaryota; Metazoa; Chordata; Mammalia; Artiodactyla; Cervidae. The record is from RNAcentral.
GCACGCCCGGCGCUACCCCAAACCUGCCCCACGGCGAGCUGAGUCCACCGGCACCAGCCCACGCCUCCCGUCCACCCUGAGGGUCAUGGAGCAGCAAGACUCGCGGGCGCCCAGGACUCCAACAUCAUGAGGGAGAUUGGUGUCAGAGCGCUCAGGGCAACCUGUGUAAACACAGAGAAAAGUGUUCCUGAAAAAUCCCAUACAGAAGUGAGGACUUCACCAUCUACCAUGGUUUCCAUCAAUAAGGUCUUGCAAAAUUUGAAUAUGGAAGCAUCAUGUUACCUGAAAGGAAAGCAAACCUGUCACCCCACACACAGAAGAGUAUGUGUUGAAACAUCCAAAAAAUCUGGCUGUGACAUGGAGAAAGGAAAGGAAAGGGAAAAAGAAGCUAGGUAAAAUGCAGCAUGAAGGAUGCUUCUGAGCCAUGAUCACAAUCCACAGUCACUUACUCAUAGGGUGACCAGAAAGUUCGCCUUCCAAACAGAAUACAUCUGAAAGUAGAUGCAAGUAGCCUUGUAGAUUAGGAAUUGGCCUUGUUUGUCCUCCAAAUCUGAAAUGUACAAUAGUAGUUGAGCUGUUCAGGAAAUGCGUGUUGAUUGGUUGAUCCCAAGAUUGGAACCUAAGCACUUAAAGCUUACGAAGCACGUACUGUGGGCCAACACGACGAGGAAUGCUCUUGUUAUGUCACAUCACUUCAUCCAGGGAUGAAAAGCAGAUUAGAAAGGGAAAACGUUUAGUUUGCUUAGUCACACAUUCAUAUAUAUUGUAGUAGUACACUUUAUUAUCAUUGUAUAAUUGCAUUUUUACUAAUUCCAUAAAUACAGGAAUGCUAUUAUUAAUUUUAUACAUGUAAUUAUACUUAUUAUAA